ACUCAGAUUUAAUGCUUAAUUGUAUACUCUUAUGUCGUUUCCUGUGUAUCCAUCUUGUCUUGACAGCCAGCUCUUCAAGCAGGGGGACAGUGUCACACUCCACAGGAAAGAACAUAAGGUUUAGAAGGAGGGGCCUCGGGUUCAAGUCCCAGCUCUGUGACCUACCAGCCUGUGUGACCUUGGAGUUGUGCAGUGUACCACCUGUGUGGCCAUACAGGGCAGCCCUGCCUGCUAAGGAAAUCACAUGAGCAGGAAUGGACAAAUUGUCUCUGUAAUACAGGAAGGAGUUGGUGUUUGACUGAAGUAGA
This 308-nucleotide long non-coding RNA is filed under the name Mustela putorius furo (domestic ferret). RNAcentral describes it as "lncRNA (ENSMPUG00000027427.1)". Lineage: Eukaryota; Metazoa; Chordata; Mammalia; Carnivora; Mustelidae. The record is from RNAcentral.